RNAcentral lists this ribosomal RNA (427 nucleotides) under uncultured prokaryote. Its description in RNAcentral is "bacterial SSU rRNA". It matches the Rfam family "Bacterial small subunit ribosomal RNA", at positions 355 to 774 of the family's 1533-position model. The record is from RNAcentral.
UGGGGAAUUUUGGACAAUGGGGGCAACCCUGAUCCAGCAAUGCCGCGUGUGUGAAGAAGGCCUUCGGGUUGUAAAGCCCUUUUGUUCGGGAAGAAAUCUCUUGGUCUAAUACCACGGAGGAAUGACGGUCCCGGUAGAAUAAGCACCGGCUAACUACGUGCCAGCAGCCGCGGUAAUACGUAGGGUGCAAGCGUUAAUCGGAAUUACUGGGCGUAAAGGGUGCGCAGGCGGAUUUGCAAGUCUGAUGUGAAAUCUACUGGCUUAACCAGUAAACUGCAUUGGAAACUGAUAGGCUAGAGUGAGGCAGAGGGAGGUAGAAUUGGUCGUGUAGCAGUGAAAUGCGUAGAUAUGAGCAGGAAUACCGAUUGCGAAGGCGGUCUCCUGGGAUAACACUGACGCUAAUGCGCGAAAGCGUGGGGAGCAAACA